CCUACGGGAGGCAGCAGUGGGGAAUCUUGCCCAAUGGGCGCAAGCCUGAGGCAGCGACGCCGCGUGAGGGAAGAAGGCCUUCGGGUUGUAAACCUCUUUCAGGAGGGACGAAGCCACUCGGGUUAAUAGCCCAGAGGGUGACGGUACUUCCAGAAGAAGCCCCGGCUAACUACGUGCCAGCAGCCGCGGUAAU
This 193-nucleotide ribosomal RNA is filed under the name uncultured Actinomycetes bacterium. RNAcentral's name for it is "uncultured actinobacterium partial 16S ribosomal RNA". It matches the Rfam family "Bacterial small subunit ribosomal RNA", at positions 338 to 524 of the family's 1533-position model. The record is from RNAcentral. Lineage: Bacteria; Bacillati; Actinomycetota; Actinomycetes.